This 301-nucleotide ribosomal RNA is filed under the name uncultured bacterium. RNAcentral describes it as "partial 16S ribosomal RNA". It matches the Rfam family "Bacterial small subunit ribosomal RNA", at positions 509 to 807 of the family's 1533-position model. The record is from RNAcentral.
CAGUCGCCACGGGAAUACGAAGGGGGCUAGCGUUGUUCGGAUUUACUGGGCGUAAAGGGCGCGUAGGCGGACUGAUAAGUCAGGGGUGAAAUCCCAAGGCUCAACCUUGGAACUGCCUUUGAUACUGUUUGUCUUGAGUUCGAGAGAGGUAAGUGGAACUGCGAGUGUAGAGGUGAAAUUCGUAGAUAUUCGCAAGAACACCAGUGGCGAAGGCGGCUUACUGGCUCGAAGCUGACGCUGAGGCGCGAAAGCGUGGGGAGCAAACAGGAUUAGAUACCCCUGUAGUCCCUGUCUCUUAUAC